Molecule: transfer RNA, 25 nt
Filed under: Mariosousa dolichostachya
Lineage: Eukaryota; Viridiplantae; Streptophyta; Magnoliopsida; Fabales; Fabaceae
Description: partial tRNA-Phe
Source: RNAcentral
GCGGGAAGCUCAGGGGAGACAAGGA